CCUACGGGUGGCAGCAGUGGGGAAUAUUGGACAAUGGGCGAAAGCCUGAUCCAGCCAUGCCGCGUGUGUGAAGAAGGCCUUCGGGUUGUAAAGCACUUUCAGUGGGGAAGAAAGCCUUGGGGCUAAUACCCUCGAGGAAGGACAUCACCCACAGAAGAAGCACCGGCUAACUCCGUGCCAGCAGCCGCGGUAAUACGGAGGGUGCGAGCGUUAAUCGGAAUUACUGGGCGUAAAGCGCGCGUAGGCGGUCUGAUAAGCCGGUUGUGAAAGCCCCGGGCUCAACCUGGGAACGGCAUCCGGAACUGUCAGGCUAGAGUGCAGGAGAGGAAGGUAGAAUUCCCGGUGUAGCGGUGAAAUGCGUAGAGAUCGGGAGGAAUACCAGUGGCGAAGGCGGCCUUCUGGACUGACACUGACGCUGAGGUGCGAAAGCGUGGGUAGCAAACAGGAUUAGAUCCCCUUGUAGUC
Molecule: ribosomal RNA, 465 nt
Filed under: Vreelandella stevensii
Lineage: Bacteria; Pseudomonadati; Pseudomonadota; Gammaproteobacteria; Oceanospirillales; Halomonadaceae
Description: partial 16S ribosomal RNA
Rfam family: Bacterial small subunit ribosomal RNA
Source: RNAcentral